Non-coding RNA from Lonchura striata (white-rumped munia), 199 nucleotides. The record is from RefSeq and is a predicted model, not a curated record. Lineage: Eukaryota; Metazoa; Chordata; Aves; Passeriformes; Estrildidae.
CCCACCCCCGGUACUACAGCGGCACGCAGAGCCGGAUCCGGAGGAUGUGGAAUGACACGGUCCGGAAACAGACGGAGUCCAGUUUUAUGGGAGGGGACCUGAACAGCACCCCGACCUUGAACCGAGGGUCACAUCUCCUGCCCAACCCGGUGCUGCCGCCGCGGGGGGGGUCCAGCCCCUACAACACCCUCCUGGCCGA